AACGUGGCAAACAAAGCUGUUUCAGAACAAGCCAGAUGUGAAAGACAAAACAAGAAGGAAUUGAACUUCAGAGUGUAACUUCUCCUGCAGUGUUGUCUAUGAACUUUUAAAGCAUAGAUUUUAGCACAAAUCCUGCGGGAUAUUGGGAAGAAUUUACAUGCAACUAUACAUGCCAGGUGUGGAAGAUGCAGGCGCAACGUUGUUCAAAUGACAGCUGUUUCCUCUGACAAGCAGACCUUCACUGCCUGGAGAAACAGAUGCACAUGUACAGAACAUCUCGAAAUGAGAGAGUGAAUGAAAUUCCAGAACGUUCCAGGAAUAGAGCCUAGAGUUUACUUACAAUGAGGACAACUGUGGAUCAGCAUUGAUGAUAUCAGGAUCCUUCAGUUCGGUACAGCAGGGGAAGUGGUCCAUCUGGGGAUCCUAUCGUAAAGAGUAAGAGAUGAUCGGUUCGUGUGCUGCUUGAACUGAGGCGCUACAGAGAUCUGUCACAACAC
Molecule: long non-coding RNA, 497 nt
Organism: Cyprinus carpio carpio
Lineage: Eukaryota; Metazoa; Chordata; Actinopteri; Cypriniformes; Cyprinidae
Source: Ensembl